RNAcentral lists this ribosomal RNA (300 nucleotides) under Triticum aestivum (bread wheat). Its description in RNAcentral is "partial small subunit ribosomal RNA". Lineage: Eukaryota; Viridiplantae; Streptophyta; Magnoliopsida; Poales; Poaceae. The record is from RNAcentral.
AUGGACGGGAGAUUGGACCUGGUUAAAACGGUGCUCUCGGCCAUGCCGAUCUUCCAGAUGAUCGCGUUGAUCAUGCCAACUUGGCUUGCGAAGCUGAUUGACAAGGUGCGGCGUGGUUUUCUCUGGGAGGGCACCGAGGCGACAUCAGGGGGCAAGUGUUUGGUCAGCUGGAGAACUGUUUGUAGGCCUAAGGAGCUCGGCGGGCUCGGCAUCACCAACGUGCUGGCACAUAGUAGGGCAUUGCGGAUGAGAUGGCUCUGGCGCUCCUGGACCGAUGGCAACAAGGCUUGGGACGGGCUA